AUACGUAGGGUGCGAGCGUUGUCCGGAAUUACUGGGCGUAAAGAGCUCGUAGGUGGUUUGUCGUGUCGUCUGUGAAAUUCCGGGGCUUAACUCCGGGCGUGCAGGCGAUACGGGCAUAACUUGAGUACUGUAGGGGAGACUGGAAUUCCUGGUGUAGCAGUGAAAUGCGCAGAUAUCAGGAGGAACACCGGUGGCGAAGGCGGGUCUCUGGGCAGUAACUGACGCUGAGGAGCGAAAGCAUGGGUAGCGAACAGGAUUAGAUACCCUGGUAGUCCAUGCCGUAAACGGUGGGCGCUAGGUGUAGGGGUCUUCCACGACUUCUGUGCCGUAGCUAACGCAUUAAGCGCCCCGCCUGGGGAGUACGGCCGCAAGGCUAAAACUCAAAUGAAUUGACGGGG
This 398-nucleotide ribosomal RNA is filed under the name uncultured bacterium. Its description in RNAcentral is "partial 16S ribosomal RNA". It matches the Rfam family "Bacterial small subunit ribosomal RNA", at positions 523 to 918 of the family's 1533-position model. The record is from RNAcentral.